Molecule: ribosomal RNA, 253 nt
Filed under: uncultured bacterium
Lineage: Bacteria
Description: partial 16S ribosomal RNA
Rfam family: Bacterial small subunit ribosomal RNA
Source: RNAcentral
UACGUACCGUACGAACGUUAUUCGGAAUUACUGGGCUUAAAGGGUUUGUAGGCGGCCUUGUAAGUCAGGUGUGAAAGCCCUCGGCUCAACCGAGGAAUAGCGCUUGAUACUGCAAGGCUUGAGGGAGACAGGGGUAAGCGGAACUGAUGGUGGAGCGGUGAAAUGCGUUGAUAUCAUCAGGAACACCGGUGGCGAAAGCGGCUUACUGGGUCUCUUCUGACGCUGAGGAACGAAAGCUAGGGUAGCGAACGGG